This is a non-coding RNA of Triticum urartu, 135 nucleotides long. Lineage: Eukaryota; Viridiplantae; Streptophyta; Magnoliopsida; Poales; Poaceae. The record is from Rfam.
UAUAUACUACCUCCGUCCUAAAAUUCUUGUCUUAAAUUUGUCUAAAUACAGAUGUAUCAAGUCAUGUUUUAGUACCAGAUACAUCCCUAUCUAGACGAAUCUAAAACAAGAAUUUUGAGACGGAGGGAGUACAUA